GAUAAACGCUGGCGGCGUGCCUUACGCAUGCAAGUCGAACGGUCUGCCCUCUUGGGGGCAGGCAGUGGCGGACGGGUGAGUAACACGUACGUGACCUGCCGGUCAGUGGGGGAUACCCCUCCGAAAGGGGGGCUAAUACCGCAUCCCCUCCCCGGGGUGGCUCGGGGAGGAAAGCCUGCGGGCGCUGACCGAGGGGCGUGCGGCCGAUUAGCUAGUUGGUGGGGUAAGCGCCUACCAAGGCGACGAUCGGUAGCUGGGCUGAGAGGCCGGCCAGCCA
RNAcentral lists this ribosomal RNA (277 nucleotides) under uncultured bacterium. RNAcentral's name for it is "partial 16S ribosomal RNA". It matches the Rfam family "Bacterial small subunit ribosomal RNA", at positions 28 to 310 of the family's 1533-position model. The record is from RNAcentral.